GGGGGGCCUCAAAGCAAUUGCAGAUAUCUUGGAAGACCAGUGGUUCCAGUGAAAUCCAGGGAACGGUUAUGCUAUCAAUAGUUAGCAAGACAUUAGACUUAAACUUCAGUGAGAGAAAGACCCAGAGGAGGCCAGUCACAGGCCCACCAGUAGCAGAGGCAGCAGGAGGUGGAAGGAGACAAGGGGAAGGAGCAUGGCUCCUAGGUUUAAUGUUUCCAACUCUUUCUCUCCCACAUCUCCUGAUCACACUAGCAGGAUGAGAGCUUGAGAACAAGAUUGGAAGUUGCUGAGCGAUGCCUGACGCUGUGUUCUGAAUACAUUUACAGAUGAGGAAACAGUGAUGCAGAGAUAUUAAGUGACUUGCACCAGAGCACAGCUAGGAGAUGACAGAGCCGGAUUCCAAAGCAGGCAGCCUGAGCUCACGGACCACUCCAACUCCUCACUGUCUGGUAGAGAAGACGCCAGAUGGAAAUCACUUAUUUCCUAUUGACCCUCAAGUCCGUCACUCUGUGAGCACUUUCUCCUCUACUUGGGUCAUUCUGUUCGUGAUUUCUUCUCUUCCAAGCCCACUUAGGUAGUGACUAUGUACAGGCCCUUAAGAGCCAUCCUACUUGGUGUAUUAUGGAUGAGAAAAAGAAAGU
Long non-coding RNA from Bos taurus (domestic cattle), 641 nucleotides. NCBI's taxonomy places the organism in Eukaryota, Metazoa, Chordata, Mammalia, Artiodactyla, Bovidae. The record is from Ensembl.